GACGAACGCUGGCGGCGUGCCUAAUACAUGCAAGUCGAACGCACUCUCGUUUAGAUUGAAGGAGCUUGCUCCUGAUUGAUAAACAUUUGAGUGAGUGGCGGACGGGUGAGUAACACGUGGGUAACCUGCCCUAAAGUGGGGGAUAACAUUUGGAAACAGAUGCUAAUACCGCAUAAAACCUAACACCGCAUGGUGUAGGGUUGAAAGAUGGUUUCGGCUAUCACUUUAGGAUGGACCCGCGGUGCAUUAGUUAGUUGGUGAGGUAAAGGCUCACCAAGACCGUGAUGCAUAGCCGACCUGAGAGGGUAAUCGGCCACACUGGGACUGAGACACGGCCCAGACUCCUACGGGAGGCAGCAGUAGGGAAUCUUCCACAAUGGACGAAAGUCUGAUGGAGCAACGCCGCGUGAGUGAAGAAGGUUUUCGGAUCGUAAAACUCUGUUGUUGGAGAGAAUGUAUCUGAUAGUAACUGAUCAGGUAGUGACGGUAUCCGAACCAGUAAGCC
RNAcentral lists this ribosomal RNA (505 nucleotides) under uncultured bacterium. RNAcentral's name for it is "bacterial SSU rRNA". It matches the Rfam family "Bacterial small subunit ribosomal RNA", at positions 28 to 492 of the family's 1533-position model. The record is from RNAcentral.